CCUACGGGAGGCAGCAGUGAGGAAUAUUGGUCAAUGGACGCAAGUCUGAACCAGCCAUGCCGCGUGCAGGAAGACGGCUCUAUGAGUUGUAAACUGCUUUUGUACGAGGGUAAACGCAGAUACGCGUAUCUGUCUGAAAGUAUCGUACGAAUAAGGAUCGGCUAACUCCGUGCCAGCAGCCGCGGUAAUACGGAGGAUUCAAGCGUUAUCCGGAUUUAUUGGGUUUAAAGGGUGCGUAGGCGGUCGGAUAAGUUAGAGGUGAAAUCCCGAGGCUCAACUUCGGAAUUGCCUCUGAUACUGGUCGGCUAGAGAGUAGUGACGGUAGGCGGAAUGUAUGGUGUAGCGGUGAAAUGCUUAGAGAUCAUACAGAACACCGAUUGCGAAGGCAGCUUACCA
This 396-nucleotide ribosomal RNA is filed under the name uncultured bacterium. RNAcentral describes it as "partial 16S ribosomal RNA". It matches the Rfam family "Bacterial small subunit ribosomal RNA", at positions 338 to 731 of the family's 1533-position model. The record is from RNAcentral.